Molecule: ribosomal RNA, 513 nt
Filed under: uncultured Glomus
Lineage: Eukaryota; Fungi; Glomeromycota; Glomeromycetes; Glomerales; Glomeraceae
Description: SSU rRNA
Rfam family: Eukaryotic small subunit ribosomal RNA
Source: RNAcentral
AGCAGCCGCGGUAAUUCCAGCUCCAAUAGCGCAUAUUAAAGUUGUUGCAGUUAAAAAGCUCGUAGUUGAAUUUCGGGGUCAGUAGGUUGGUCAUGCCACUGGUAUGUACUGGUCUCACUGAUUCCUCCUUCCUGAUGAACUGUAAUGCCAUUAAUUUGGUGUUGCAGGGAAUCUGGACUGUUACUUUGAAAAAAUUAGAGUGUUUAAAGCAGGCUAACGCCUGAAUACAUUAGUAUGGAAUAAUGAAAUAGGACGUUCGAUCCUAUUUUGUUGGUUUCUAGGAUUGACGUAAUGAUUAAUAGGGAUAGUUGGGGGCAUUAGUAUUCAAUUGUCAGAGGUGAAAUUCUUGGAUUUAUUGAAGACUAACUACUGCGAAAGCAUUUGCCAAGGAUGUUUUCAUUAAUCAAGAACGAAAGUUAGGGGAGUCGAAGACGAUCAGNUACCGUCGUAGUCUUAACCAUAAACUAUGCCGACUAGGGAUCGGAUGAUGUUAAUUUUUUAAUGUACUCAUUC